This 341-nucleotide ribosomal RNA is filed under the name Idionyx imbricata. RNAcentral's name for it is "partial 12S ribosomal RNA". Lineage: Eukaryota; Metazoa; Arthropoda; Insecta; Odonata; Corduliidae. The record is from RNAcentral.
GUAAUAGUUAGGUUCUUGAAACCCAAAGAAUUUGGCGGUAUUUUAUUCUUUUUAGAGGAACCUGUCCUGUAAUUGACAAUACACGAUUAAGAAUUACUUGGUUUUUGUUUUCAGUUUGUAUACCUCCGUCAUCAGAAUAUCUUUUUAGAGUUAAAUAUUCUUUUUAUAUAAAUUAUAAAAUGUCAGGUCAAGGUGCAAUUUAUGAGCAAGUAGAGAUGGGUUACAAUAAAGUUAUUUAUAUGGAUUGGGAGUUUUAUUAAACUUUCAUGAAGGUGGAUUUAAUAGUAAGAUUGUAUUCUUUGCAAUUUGAUUUUGGCACUAAAAUAUGCACACAUCGCCCG